AUCUUCCGCAAUGGACGAAAGUCUGACGGAGCAACGCCGCGUGAGUGAUGAAGGCUUUCGGGUCGUAAAACUCUGUUGUUAGGGAAGAACAAGUGCUAGUUGAAUAAGCUGGCACCUUGACGGUACCUAACCAGAAAGCCACGGCUAACUACGUGCCAGCAGCCGCGGUAAUACGUAGGUGGCAAGCGUUAUCCGGAAUUAUUGGGCGUAAAGCACGAGCAGGUGGUUUAUUAAGACUGAUGUGAAAGCCAACGGCUCAACCGUGGAGGGUCAUUGGAAACUGGGAGACUUGAGUGCAGAAGAGGAAAGUGGAAUGCCAUGUGUAGCGGUGAAAUGCGUAGAGAUAUGGAGGAACACAAGUGGAGAAGGCGACUUUCUGGUCUGUAACUGACACUGAGGCGCGAAAGCGUGGGGAGCAAACAG
This 423-nucleotide ribosomal RNA is filed under the name uncultured bacterium. Its description in RNAcentral is "bacterial SSU rRNA". It matches the Rfam family "Bacterial small subunit ribosomal RNA", at positions 361 to 775 of the family's 1533-position model. The record is from RNAcentral.